RNAcentral lists this ribosomal RNA (447 nucleotides) under uncultured bacterium. RNAcentral describes it as "SSU rRNA". It matches the Rfam family "Bacterial small subunit ribosomal RNA", at positions 26 to 518 of the family's 1533-position model. The record is from RNAcentral.
AGAGCGAACGCUGGCGGCAUGCUUAACACAUGCAAGUCGCACGGGCACUUCGGUGUCAGUGGCGGACGGGUGAGUAACGCGUAGGUAUCUAUCCUUGGGUGGGGGACAACGGUUGGAAACGACUGCUAAUACCGCAUAAUAACUGAGGUUUAAAGGCGCAAGUCGCCUGAGGAGGAGCCUGCGUACGAUUAGCUAGUUGGUGGGGUAAAGGCCUACCAAGGCGACGAUCGUUAGCUGGUCUGAGAGGAUGAUCAGCCACAUUGGGACUGAGACACGGCCCAAACUCCUACGGGAGGCAGCAGUGGGGAUAUUGGACAAUGGGCGAAAGCCUGAUCCAGCAAUGCCGCGUGUGUGAAGAAGGUCUUCGGAUUGUAAAGCACUUUCGACAGGGACGAUGAUGACGGUACCUGUAGAAGAAGCCCCGGCUAACUUCGCGCCAGCAGCCGC